GACCUCAAGUCAUGUGAGAGUACCCGCUGAACUUAAGCAUAUCAAUAAGCGGAGGAAAAGAAACUAACAAGGAUUCCCCUAGUAACGGCGAGUGAAGCGGGAAGAGCACAAAUUUAAAAUCUACCUGGUUUUUAGGUCGAGUUGUAAUUUGAAGAUACGUUUUUGACGUUCUGGGUUGGACUAAAUCCUUUGGGAUAAGGUAUCAUAGAGGGUGAGAAUCCCGUAUAUACCAACCGUAGGGAUGUUAUUAAAUACGUUUCUAAGAGUCGAGUUGUUUGGGAAUGCAGCUCUAAAUGGGUGGUAAAUUUCACCUAAUGCUAAAUAUAAGCGAGAGACCGAUAGCGAACAAGUACAGUGAUGGAAAGAUGAAAAGAACUUUGAAAAGAGAGUUAAAUAGUACGUGAAAUUGUUGAAAGGGAAACGAUUGAAGUCAGUCAUGCUGGUGGGAAUCAACUUAGGGGAAACUCUGGGUGCACUUCUUCGCUUGGCAGGUCAACGUCGAUUUUGAAUGUCAUAAAAUAACUGGGGGAAGGUAGCUCUUUCGGGAGUGUUAUAGCCCUUGGUAGAUGUGAUGUCUGGGAUCGAGGAUUGCAACGGAUACCUUUCGGGGCUAACCGCCUGAUCUCUAAUUGGUGUUGGGUUAUGGACAGCAUGCUGACCGUGAUCUAAUUACUGGUUAAAAGGUUAGAGCGUGUAUAAAUUUGUUAAGGACGCUGACGUAAUGGCUUUAAACGACCCGUCUUGAAACACGGACCAAGGAGUCUAACAUGUAUGCGAGUGUUAGGGUAUUAAACCCAGACGCGAAAUGAAAGUGAGUGUAGGUGGGAUCCUUUAUUGGAGCACCAUCGACCGAUCUUGAGAUUUAUCGAUAGAAUUGAGUUAGAGC
RNAcentral lists this ribosomal RNA (886 nucleotides) under Gigaspora margarita. RNAcentral's name for it is "eukaryotic LSU rRNA". It matches the Rfam family "Eukaryotic large subunit ribosomal RNA", at positions 1 to 801 of the family's 3401-position model. Lineage: Eukaryota; Fungi; Glomeromycota; Glomeromycetes; Diversisporales; Gigasporaceae. The record is from RNAcentral.